GCUGGGUGUGGUGGUGCAUGCCUGUAAUCCCAGCUAUUCGGGAAGCUGAGGCAGGAGAAUUGCUUGAACCCAGGAGGCGGGGUUUGCAGUGAGCCAAGAUCAUGCCACUGCAUUCCAGCCUGGGCAACAGAGCAACACUCUGUCUCAA
Molecule: non-coding RNA, 148 nt
Filed under: Pan paniscus (pygmy chimpanzee)
Lineage: Eukaryota; Metazoa; Chordata; Mammalia; Primates; Hominidae
Also listed under: 1 other name
Source: Rfam by way of RNAcentral